CGGCUGGGAGAAGGCAACUGCCCCCGACCCUUCCUGAACCCCUCUCCUCUCUCUUUCUUUUCUUUCAGUGACCUGGGCUCCGCGGAUUCAUUUGAGGCUGGAGGGCCGCUCACGUGUUUUACUCCAACUGUUUGCAACUUUUGAAACCCGGCCAAUCUGGCUUUGGCAUUUGAAAACCAUUUCAAACAGGAGAGAUUCCAAGAAAUGAGGGGGGUACGUUGAAACGAUGAAGAAAGGAUGGACACAGCAGUUGAGGUUGAGAGGUAGGCUCAGGGGUCCACCCUUGUGUGACCUUGAAUAAGCUCGGUGACCUCCGCGCCUCCGUUUCUCGCUGAUCAAAUAAGUAGAACAAGACCUCACAGGGUUCUUGGGAGUAUUACGUGGGAAAACACUUAUAAAGUGGCAAAUAAUAAAAACUCAUUGUAUUAUUAA
Long non-coding RNA from Symphalangus syndactylus (siamang), 432 nucleotides. RefSeq lists it as uncharacterized. Lineage: Eukaryota; Metazoa; Chordata; Mammalia; Primates; Hylobatidae. The record is from RefSeq and is a predicted model, not a curated record.